Molecule: ribosomal RNA, 589 nt
Filed under: uncultured bacterium
Lineage: Bacteria
Description: bacterial SSU rRNA
Rfam family: Bacterial small subunit ribosomal RNA
Source: RNAcentral
GACGGGGGCCCGCACAAGCGGAGGAACAUGUGGUUUAAUUCGAUGAUACGCGAGGAACCUUACCCGGGCUUGAACUGCAGCAGAACGAUUGAGAGAUCAUGAGGCCCUUCGGGGCUGCUGUGGAGGUGCUGCAUGGUUGUCGUCAGCUCGUGCCGUGAGGUGUCGGCUUAAGUGCCAUAACGAGCGCAACCCCUUUCGCCAGUUGCCAUCAGGUGAUGCUGGGCACUCCGGCGACACUGCCACCGUAAGGUGUGAGGAAGGUGGGGAUGACGUCAAAUCAGCACGGCCCUUACGUCCGGGGCUACACACGUGUUACAAUGGGUGGUACAGAGAGUCAGCGGCCGGCAACGUCCGCUCAAUCAUGAAAGCCAUCCUCAGUUCGGAUUGGGGUCUGCAACCCGACCCCAUGAAGCUGGAUUCGCUAGUAAUCGCGCAUCAGCCAUGGCGCGGUGAAUACGUUCCCGGGCCUUGUACACACCGCCCGUCAAGCCAUGAAAGCCGGGGGCGCCUGAAGUCCGUGACCGCGAGGGUCGGCCUAGGGUGAAACCGGUGAUUGGGGCUAAGUCGUAACAAGGUAGCCGUACCGAAA